CGUUGAAAUACCGGUUCCCGUACGAUCACCAAAGUUAAGCAACAUCGACCUUGGGGAGUACCCAGAUGGGUGACUGCUUAGGAAUAUCAGCUGCU
Non-coding RNA from Acanthosepion pharaonis, 95 nucleotides. The record is from the annotation of a GenBank genome assembly. Lineage: Eukaryota; Metazoa; Mollusca; Cephalopoda; Sepiida; Sepiidae.